UAUAUAUUAAGUUUAUAUAUAUAUUAAUGAACACAAAACUUAACAUCUCUUGGUAAUUAAAAAAGUGUUACAUAUCAAAAAAAAAUUAGAAAGCAAAUAUACUUGUAUUAAUUCAUAUUUUAAAAACAAUAUAAAAACAAAAAAAAAUUAAUUACAAUUAGAAUUUCUAAAUAAAAAUAAAAUUGUGUCUGCAACACACUAUACCCCAACGGGCAGCGGUACAACAAUUAUUCACUACCAUAAUCAAAAUU
RNAcentral lists this long non-coding RNA (251 nucleotides) under Capsella rubella. RNAcentral describes it as "long non-coding RNA (CRUB_LNC002465)". The record is from RNAcentral. Lineage: Eukaryota; Viridiplantae; Streptophyta; Magnoliopsida; Brassicales; Brassicaceae.